AAAAUUUACAAGGAAUUGCAAUAUUUUAUUGCAAAACUAGUAUAUACUAUAUAAUCGUAUAAUGUAUAAUUAACUUUAUUCCAAUUUUAAGUAAAACAGAGCAAAAACAUGCAUAUUUGCUAUUGAAUUAUAUAAUAUACUCGUAAUAUAAUUUAUUGAGGCAAAUUCGAGUGUUUUAUAAGCUAGUUAGUUCUUAAUAUCUUAAAAUCUCGAGUAAUCCUUAUUUUGAACUAUGAACAUAUAUAUACAUAUCUACAUAUGUAUGUAUUAAUAUAUCAUUUGAGAUUUACUGAGUUUGCUGAAUUUUGAGUCAAGCUUCCAUCCGAUUUCUGACACAAUACAUACAUAUGUGUUUUAAGGCUUCAUUAAAGGAUGUUAGUUAAGUAUGAUUAUGGGGAUUGCCCUUAUUGAAUCAUGGAAAACAGAUUUUCGUUGGUUAAAAUCUUAAAUUAAAUUCCUUUGCUACGAAGUUUAAGCGUAAAUUACAGUACAGUGAAAAGAUAUUAAUCAAAUAUCUAUAAAUUGUAUACCAUUACUAUUUAAAGUAAUAAAUAUGUAAAUAUGUAUGUAUGUAUGUAAAUAAUAACCAAACAAAUGCCUAUAAUUUUCUGAAAGAUUCGAGAAACAUUUCGCUGAUGUUAGUUGGGAUGCCUGUAUGAGAAUAAUCCAGACUUUCGUAAAUGGACAUAUAGUGUGAAUAUUUGUAUGUAAAUACAUACAUACAUAUGUAUGCGGAUACAAACAAGUUAUUGAAACGUCAUAGCGGCAUGCAUUUAAGCACGUACAUAUUUACAUAGAAGCCGUAGGCGCAAAACGUGAAAAAUUUGUGUACAUACAUAUAUGUAUACAUUUUCUACCUUCAACAAACUCCCAAAAUAUAAUAUAAAGAAUUAUUAAUUUUAUUAUAAUAAAGGGAUACAAUAAAAUUAUAAAAUCGGUGGUUGUUAUUUUUAUAUAUGUACAUACAUACAUAUGUAGGUACAUACAUGCAAGAAAUACAUAUAUAGAACAUUAUCCAAGUUUCUAGAAUUCGCUGGCACCCCGUAGCUGAAAAAACGGCUUCCACUUUGUCAGAAUGAGCGAUUUAAAAUAUAUACAUAAAAAUAAAUGUGUGUGUUUUUCAUUAGAAAGAAAGAGGUGACUGUACCGCUAUAAUAAAUUGUAGAUACGCUCAUAUAAAAAAUCAUACAUACAUAUGUUCAUAUAAACACAUUUAAGAAAACAAAGCAGGCUGAGAGCACUAGCUAGUAUGCGAUAUUUUUAUGAUUUGUUAUUGCUUUAGUAACGACUUUCAACGUAUUUUUUGCUAAUUAAAAUUUAUAAAAUACUAUAAAUAAACAUAAAUAAUUAUAAUAAAUAACAGAAUUUCAGUAAAAAUUGGCAUGAACAUUAAAAUUUCACAACGACUUGGUGAUUUCAUUGUUUUCGUAUUGAUCCAGGUGAUUAUUAUACGUACAUAUGUAUGUAUGUCUGUCAGCUGAAUACGAUCCAAAAAGUCAGUAUACCUUCUCGCUUAUCGUUAACUUACACAGAAAAGGUAAUACAUGAACUCCUUGUGUGUUGAAGUGAGACAAAUAGACUCAAAACGAAAAUCAAUAAAAGCGAUUUGACUGUGGAAUUUUCCCGACUUUUCCGAGCUGCACAGCCAACGGGUAUAAAUACAGCAACGCCAGUCGACAUUCUAUCAUUUGUGUUUCAGUCGUACAACAAGGUGUUUAAAAAUAUUAAAGAGUCAAAUUGUGAAAAAGUGUAUUGGUAGCUGAAAAAGUGUUUUAAUAGUGUGAACGAAGAAGAAAAUAGUUCUCUGGAAAUGGCUGCCGGAAAUUGGGCUUUAUUGAGGAAAUUGCAAGUACGGUUAGGCGAAGAACCGGGAGGCUAGCAGAGGCGACAUACUUAAGCAUGAGCUUUAAAGGAAUUCAAUGAGAACAGAUGAAAUCUAGGCACAGGGCUGACUUUUUGGAUGUUUUUUUCAAACACAUUUGGCCGUCCAUUAGCUGUUACUGCGUACCCUAGUUACCAAUUAGGCAGGCUGAUUCGGUGAGGAAUCUAUGCAGAACAGAAAGACAGGCAGGCAGGCUUAUUACAUGGGCAUUUACUUACAUACAUAUGUGUUGGAAAGAAUUCAAAGGCAGGUGUAAGAUACGAUUUCGGGCAGAAAACUGCGUUGAAAAAUGUCUGUGUAAAGCCUAGAGCAUGAGUAAUCCAAUGGAUUUGGGAAGAUGAGUAAGUUGUUGGGCGUCUUUGAAAAGCAAUUUUGUCGUUUAUACUACUUCCGCUACAUGCAAACAUUAGUCUAUAACUAAAUGUUAUUGCAGUUUGCUGAUAAAAACUGAAACACUACUCAGUUAUAAUGACAAUAAUUGACCAUAGGCGCAGAGCUCCUCGUUCGUAAGAAACUGAAGACAAAGCGAUAAACCCAUCUACUACAAUAUCCAUAGUAUAUCUUCUUCGACAUUGUUGUUUCUUCUACUGCCAAAAAGGUCCUUGUCAUCGACGGUAGAGGAAUGUUAUGAUGCAGAAUUGGUAUUUGUUUUGUUCCACUUACUUACAUAGGAUAUACUGUUCAUAUAAAUAUAAAUAUACGUACGUUAAAAACCCCCAGUUUAGCACAAAUUGUUAAGAAACCUAACACAAAUCAUUUUUUUUAUUAUAAAAAAACGUUGAAUUAUAUAUUUUAAAGGCUGAAAGAGUAAACCAAAUGACUCCGUAUGUACAUAUGUCUUAAACUUACAUAAAUCAAACUUAUUGAAAUAUUGUUUUAUCGGUCUCUUACAUAAUUAUGUUAAUACAAAAUUACUGCGUUAUUUAUCAGAUAUGACAAAACCAAUUUAUAUAAAUCAAAACCAAACACAAUGCAGAAAAAAAACAUAAAAAACUAAAAAAAAUUAAGAAAAGCAUUACAACGAAGGUAAAAAUAAAUAACUAUUCCUUCCCACUU
This is a long non-coding RNA of Bactrocera dorsalis (oriental fruit fly), 2938 nucleotides long. RefSeq lists it as uncharacterized. The record is from RefSeq and is a predicted model, not a curated record. The transcript has 2 exons. NCBI's taxonomy places the organism in Eukaryota, Metazoa, Arthropoda, Insecta, Diptera, Tephritidae.